AACGAACGCUGGCGGCAUGCCUAACACAUGCAAGUCGAACGGGACCUUCGGGUCUAGUGGCGCACGGGUGCGUAACGCGUGGGGAUCUGCCCUUAGGUACGGAAUAACUCAGGGAAACUUGAGCUAAUACCGUAUAAUGACUUCGGUCCAAAGAUUUAUCGCCUAGGGAUGAACCCGCGUAGGAUUAGCUUGUUGGUGAGGUAAAGGCUCACCAAGGCGACGAUCCUUAGCUGGUCUGAGAGGAUGAUCAGCCACACUGGGACUGAGACACGGCCCAGACUCCUACGGGAGGCAGCAGUGGGGAAUAUUGGACAAUGGGCGAAAGCCUGAUCCAGCAAUGCCGCGUGAGUGAUGAAGGCCUUAGGGUUGUAAAGCUCUUUUACCCGGGUA
RNAcentral lists this ribosomal RNA (390 nucleotides) under uncultured bacterium. RNAcentral describes it as "bacterial SSU rRNA". It matches the Rfam family "Bacterial small subunit ribosomal RNA", at positions 29 to 446 of the family's 1533-position model. The record is from RNAcentral.